UACUCCAUUUACCAAGAUCGGAAUCUUUCGUACGUUUCACUCUCCCAAACCCGUUUGUUUACAUUGUUGUAUUUGUAAUUUUGACAAUUAGUCCAUGAAUAGAUGUGAAAACAAACAAAAAAAAAACGAUGCCGUGGGCUAGCGGCACUUUGCAAAGCAAAAACAAAAUGGGGUGGUUAAUAAGUUUGUUUUCAUAUUUUUCUUUUUACUUUUUUCGAUGAAAAACUCAGUUUUAAGUUUUAGUUUUGCAGUCAUUUUGUUGAUAGCGAACCAAUCAAUCACUACGAAAUUGUUCAAAUUUCAUAACUAACUUCGGAUUAUCGUAUCAAAAAUGCGUUCGAAGAACCAUCAAGUUAAGGGUGCGAGCGCAAUUUAUUGAAUUCAAAUUUUGUUUGCAAGUAUUUAAAAUCUGUAUCAAUUUAAUUAAUUCAAGUAUAUUUAUAGUUUGUUUUUGAUGAUUUAAGCUUGCAACUAUUUUUCAAUUCCAUUUCAUUCCUUAAAAAUGUUAAGUUACCAAAGUUCAAGUUUACUUAUUAUUGUUUGAAGGGUAUGUUUAAUAAAAAUGCUGCUAAUAAUGAAAACAAAUUAUUGAGUUUUACGUA
This is a long non-coding RNA of Eupeodes corollae, 602 nucleotides long. RefSeq lists it as uncharacterized. The record is from RefSeq and is a predicted model, not a curated record. The transcript has 2 exons. Lineage: Eukaryota; Metazoa; Arthropoda; Insecta; Diptera; Syrphidae.